This 792-nucleotide ribosomal RNA is filed under the name Pseudomonas sp. Its description in RNAcentral is "bacterial SSU rRNA". It matches the Rfam family "Bacterial small subunit ribosomal RNA", at positions 57 to 845 of the family's 1533-position model. Lineage: Bacteria; Pseudomonadati; Pseudomonadota; Gammaproteobacteria; Pseudomonadales; Pseudomonadaceae. The record is from RNAcentral.
GCAGUCGAGCGGUAGAGAGAAGCUUGCUUCUCUUGAGAGCGGCGGACGGGUGAGUAAUGCCUAGGAAUCUGCCUGGUAGUGGGGGAUAACGUUCGGAAACGGACGCUAAUACCGCAUACGUCCUACGGGAGAAAGCAGGGGACCUUCGGGCCUUGCGCUAUCAGAUGAGCCUAGGUCGGAUUAGCUAGUUGGUGAGGUAAUGGCUCACCAAGGCGACGAUCCGUAACUGGUCUGAGAGGAUGAUCAGUCACACUGGAACUGAGACACGGUCCAGACUCCUACGGGAGGCAGCAGUGGGGAAUAUUGGACAAUGGGCGAAAGCCUGAUCCAGCCAUGCCGCGUGUGUGAAGAAGGUCUUCGGAUUGUAAAGCACUUUAAGUUGGGAGGAAGGGUUGUAGAUUAAUACUCUGCAAUUUUGACGUUACCGACAGAAUAAGCACCGGCUAACUCUGUGCCAGCAGCCGCGGUAAUACAGAGGGUGCAAGCGUUAAUCGGAAUUACUGGGCGUAAAGCGCGCGUAGGUGGUUUGUUAAGUUGGAUGUGAAAUCCCCGGGCUCAACCUGGGAACUGCAUUCAAAACUGACUGACUAGAGUAUGGUAGAGGGUGGUGGAAUUUCCUGUGUAGCGGUGAAAUGCGUAGAUAUAGGAAGGAACACCAGUGGCGAAGGCGACCACCUGGACUAAUACUGACACUGAGGUGCGAAAGCGUGGGGAGCAAACAGGAUUAGAUACCCUGGUAGUCCACGCCGUAAACGAUGUCAACUAGCCGUUGGAAGCCUUGAGCUUUUAGUG